GACGAACGCUGGCGGCGUGCUUAACACAUGCAAGUCGAACGGAAAGGCCCUGCUUUUGUGGGGUGCUCGCGUGGCGAACGGGUGAGUAACACGUGAGUAACCUGCCCUUGACUUUGGGAUAACUUCAGGCAACUGGGGCUAAUACAGGCUAGGAGCUCCUGCUGCAUGGUGGGGGUUGGACCGUUUCGGCGGUUGGGGAUGGACUCGCGGCUGAUUAGCUUGUUGGUGGGGUAGUGGCUUACCAAGCCUUUGACGGGUAGCCGGCCUGAGAGGGUGACCGGCCACAUUGGGACUGAGAGACGGACCAGACGCGUACGGGAGGCAGCAGUGGGGAGUAUGGCACAAUGGGCGGGAGCCUGAUGCAGCAACGCCGCGUGCGGGAUGACGGCCUUCGGGUGGUAAACCGCUGUCGCCUGUGACGAAGCGUGAGUGACGGUAAUGGCUAAAGAAGCACCGGCUAACUACGU
This 467-nucleotide ribosomal RNA is filed under the name uncultured bacterium. RNAcentral describes it as "partial 16S ribosomal RNA". It matches the Rfam family "Bacterial small subunit ribosomal RNA", at positions 28 to 506 of the family's 1533-position model. The record is from RNAcentral.